GCGUUUCGCCUCUCGGCCCCAUCUCCCGGCCCCACCUCCCGCUUCCUGGACCCACGUAAGGGCCCCGCGUUCCACCGCGCAUCUUAGGUCUGCAUUCCAGCCCCUGCUUGCCACUCCCACAUCCCGGUUCCGCGUCCCACACCUGCAACCCAGCCCCGCAUUCCAAGCCCUCAUCCCACCCCGCGUCCCGACCCGCGUUCCCCGGCGGGAGGGAAAAGGAGGUUUGAUGCAAUGUUGCAGCAGAGUGCUUGCCAGCAAGCAUUUUAGAGCACAGUACAACCCAUCCCUGUGGGAGAUGAAUUUGCAUCUUUCGCAACAAGAGAGCACGUUGCUACUGCUGCUGUUGUGAAGAGCCCCUCAAGCAACUUUCAUCUCUGUGUGUUGAGGAAGAAGAAGGAAUUUAAGGCUCUGUGCAAAGUCCUCUCUAGAGGCAUUGUUCCAAAUCUGAGAAAUCAGCAGACCGAAAGCCAUCCAAGCCUUGUCUUCUACAGGCAUAUGUACCACUGGUUCCACUAAACCAGUAGGAGCAUGUUUUGUUUCAUUGCAAAGUCUGCUUUCUCUUGAGCUAACCCCUGGAAUUGAGUUCUUAGCCAGAGACCACCACCUGGGAAAUCUGCUAAAACAACAGCACAUGCUCUGCAUCCUCAUGAAACUGCCUGACAUUUAAGGUCACCACCAUGUUGAUGUUAAGCCUGCUGAGACUGCAGUGAGGACAGUAGGCGCCAACUUCUCUCCCUCUUACCUAUGCAAGGGAAGCAUAACAAGUCAUCCAACCACUACGGUGGAGUGACCCCCACUUUUCCACCUUCCUACUCAGUCUGAACAAACGUAAGUGAUGUUUUCACCAUCUCUGUGUUGUGGCUACACUCACCGUGGUGCAUGAAGAUACCAUGAACCUUACUGGGGACACAUUUUUGUCAGAACAGGCACUGGACAACCUGCUCGAGAUGAAUAGAAAUCAAGGCAUAGUAAAUGAAUUCCCUCCAGCUUGCAGCAGUUUCCAGGCACGGUAGGCAGUUCCAUGGCACACAUGUCAUACCAGCACUCAGUAACUCCCUUCAGCCUCAGCCAGAGGCCCCGUAGGUCCUUGGGGAAGUUCCUCUCAGCAUCCUCUGUAAGGCACAGCUGUGGGUAUGUUCACAGGGGCUCUUAUGCUUGAGCUCUCUUGCACUCUCCACUGCUCCUCCUUCUUGCACCAGCUCCCUGGACAGUUUGACACCCCUCCCCUGCAGCACAUUGAUGCUACAUCCUCUGUUUUCUCAAAAGAGUGUUGUUUAAAAAGUGUGUUACCACGGGCAAAACAGAUGCUGUACACCAGCUGGCAAAAGGUGCUUUUUGCUGGUAGAGCUUCUUUGCUUGCUGGAGUUGCAAAGUCCACGCAGUGCAGGUAUACCAGGGGAACUACACUAACAAGAAAGUUUUAGGCUGCCCCAAUAUACAGUGUCCAAAAAUAAAUCAUCCUCUGUUUUAUUCAGUUCUUCAGGUACAAAAGAAAUACAUGUUCAGCUCCUUUAGGAAUUAAACUAUUGACCUUUCUGAAUGCCAAAAAGCCUAGAAGUAGGCCAGAGAGAGAAUGAUUAUCAUAUUGUUGAAACAGAAGAACUCCCAAAUCUAAUAAAUGUUAGACCUGACACUAACUGGGAAAAAGGAGGAAGACAGGAUGCUGUUGUUAGAGCAGGAUCUGUUGGGGAUUGGUCGCACAGAUAAUCCAGGGUGGCAGAGGUUUCUCUGAUGUUUUUGAGGGCAUUUGACUUGUUUCAGGUGGCAUACAGAAAUAAGUCACAUCUUUACAACAGUUGUUUGCAAAAUGCAGGAAGCAGAAUUGACCCAAAUCAGGGGGGGUUUCUCCUCGGGGGGACCCUCAGAAAUGUGUUUCUGGUAGAGGUGCUCAGGCAUGUUUUCUCCUGGACACUGGAAGUCCCCACAAUGGUGGGACAGUGGGAGGGGUUCACAUAUGCUGCCGCCAGAGGACUUUGUCUCAGGGAGAGGUCUCAGCUCCAGGCCAGACAUUGCAGAGCCUCUCACUUACCCUGGCCCCUGCAAAGCCCCUUGAGAGCACAUGCAGACCCCCUCAUAGUUCACACCAGGUACACAGGCACCCCAUGACAGCACACAGGCCGGUCGCUUUCCCAGCCCACUGUGCAGGAGGCGUGCACUGGGCAUGACUUGAGGACACCACUUCUGCUAACUGCUUGGCAGCCUUUGAUCAUCCAUUUAAAGCCGAUUUCCUUCCCAAGGGCUUUGGAGACAAGAGGGCUCAGUCCAUACCUGGGGUUCAGGUGGUACAAGAACAUGCCUUUUAGUCGUGUGGGUGCCCUCACUGAAGAGGAUUCACCAACACUUUGGGAGCAGUAAACAGCCCCAGCUGCAGUGUUCUGCAGAGCCCAGGACAGACUGGAGUGCAGCUGUGUGUGGAGAUGAGGACCCAUGACAUUUUCAUUUUGGUAGUGUCCCAUGUACUGUACGUGUCCUCCAGGACUGAACCACAGCCAAGAGCUAGUCAUCAUUUAUUGAUCAGUGGCUUGUGUUUGCUCAACACUGUAUUGCCGGUAACCAGGUAACAUUAAUAAAAGUGACUUGACCUUG
Long non-coding RNA from Corvus hawaiiensis (hawaiian crow), 2586 nucleotides. RefSeq lists it as uncharacterized. The record is from RefSeq and is a predicted model, not a curated record. Lineage: Eukaryota; Metazoa; Chordata; Aves; Passeriformes; Corvidae. The transcript is spliced from 3 exons.